CACGUAGGGGGCGAGCGUUGUUCGGAAUUACUGGGCGUAAAGGGCAUGUAGGCGGUCUUGUAAGCUUGGCGUGAAAGACCAUGGCUCAACCAUGGGAUUGCGUUGAGAACUGCGAGGCUUGAGUGACGGAGAGGGAGCUAGAAUUCCUGGUGUAGGGGUGGAAUCUGUAGAGAUCAGGAAGAAUACCAAUGGCGAAGGCAAGCUCCUGGCCGAUGACUGACGCUGAGGGACGAAAGCCAGGGGCGCGAAC
Molecule: ribosomal RNA, 250 nt
Filed under: uncultured bacterium
Lineage: Bacteria
Description: partial 16S ribosomal RNA
Rfam family: Bacterial small subunit ribosomal RNA
Source: RNAcentral